Molecule: ribosomal RNA, 490 nt
Filed under: uncultured bacterium
Lineage: Bacteria
Description: partial 16S ribosomal RNA
Rfam family: Bacterial small subunit ribosomal RNA
Source: RNAcentral
AGUGAACGCUGGCGGUAGGCCUAACACAUGCAAGUCGAACGGCAGCACAGGAGAGCUUGCUCUCUAGGUGGCGAGUGGCGGACGGGUGAGGAAUACAUCGGAAUCUGCCCAGUCGUGGGGGAUAACGUAGGGAAACUUACGCUAAUACCGCAUACGACCUUCGGGUGAAAGAGGGGGAUCGCAAGACCUCUCGCGAUUGGAUGAGCCGAUGUCGGAUUAGCUAGUUAGCGGGGUAAUGGCCCACCAAGGCGACGAUCCGUAGCUGGUCUGAGAGGAUGAUCAGCCACACUGGAACUGAGACACGAUCCAGACUCCUACGGGAGGCAGCAGUGGGGAAUAUUGGACAAUGGGCGCAAGCCUGAUCCAGCCAUACCGCGUGGGUGAAGAAGGCCUUCGGGUUGUAAAGCCCUUUUGUUGGGAAAGAAAUCUUUCAGGCUAAUACCCUGGGAGGAUGACGGUACCCAAAGAAUAAGCACCGGCUAACUUCGUG